UCGUAGUCGAGCUCAUCCCCAUUCCCCUCUCCUCUCUCGCCCAUAUCGACGCCCCGCUCGAUCUCCACCGGCGAUUCCGUCUCGUCGGCGGCAAGUUGCUGGUGGGAAACAUCGAAAGGGUUCUGCUGGUCGGUUGGGGUAGUGGGGUGGACCAUCGACGGCGCGGGCGACCGGAUUGACGCGGCAACCGGAUCGACGCUACCGACGUGGGGCCAGACGGGGUGAGAUGGGUCCUUCGCCGCCGCCGCCACCGCCGCGCGAUUCCACGCGUCCGAGGGGGCGGCGCGGGUAGCAGGAGUCGCUGAAGGAGACUCGGCGGCGCGACCUGGCGAAUCGACGCAGCGGAAGCUGGUAAACGUGCUCGGAGGUGUCGGUCUCAGAGUUUCGGCGGCGUGGUUUUGAUGAUGAAGAUUGAUUUGAGAAAUUUUUUGGCUACCUAUUCUAGCUUCCUGGAAGAGAAAUUUUACAUGCUGUCCUUGCUUUCAGGUUCCUGACAAUGCAGUUUGCCACUAGUUUUUGUUCAUCUAGUUUGAGGUGUGGUCUCACGAACUACUAAAACUUGGUGCCUUUUGGUGUUGGAUUGUAGACCACUUCGUACCAGUAUAUCCUUUUCUCUUAUAGUAGUUGGAGUUAAGUUUUAUACAUCCAUGACAGAAUCUGUGGGGUAGCUGAUACCGAUGCAUCAGUCGGCGAGAGUCUAACUUCCUGGAUGUUUAUGUAAAAAUACGGAUCUGGAGUUGCAUGAAUUUGGCUGUAACUUUUCAUA
Long non-coding RNA from Lolium perenne, 766 nucleotides. RefSeq lists it as uncharacterized. NCBI's taxonomy places the organism in Eukaryota, Viridiplantae, Streptophyta, Magnoliopsida, Poales, Poaceae. The record is from RefSeq and is a predicted model, not a curated record.